RNAcentral lists this long non-coding RNA (816 nucleotides) under Homo sapiens (human). Its description in RNAcentral is "novel transcript". The record is from RNAcentral. Lineage: Eukaryota; Metazoa; Chordata; Mammalia; Primates; Hominidae.
AUCCCAGGGAAUUGUGUCACUCCCAUUGAGCAGCUGUGGGGCCCUCUCCCACAUGGCCCAGGUCCACCACUCUGUCAAAGGUCGCACAGCCCAGACAAAAACAGGACACAGCAGUGUGUGAAUGAGCCGGGCUUUCUCCUUCCCUCCACGUAAUAGAAGGUGCCUGAGGUUGUUGAAACACAGUCCAUUUCUCCUGGGAAUGACAAGAAUUUGAGGGAUGCUGACUUUCAAGGAAUACUGCAUGACAGGCAUCAAGAUAAACCUGAUGAAGAAAACAUAGGCCAGAAUCUGGGAAUCGGGAGCAAAGUAAUACAGCUUCGGGGACAGGCACGUAAUGAGGUCAUGAUGUAGGAGACUCCCUGCAGGACUGGCGGCCCCUGUUCCCUGGGUUGUUCUGGCUCUUUCAGCUGAAUUCCUGCUUCAUCUGGAGGACUGCACAGUGUAUCUGAGAGAGGAUUUUCAGGAGGCCAGAAAAUCAAGCUGGAGGGAUUUUCAGCGUGUUGGGAGAUUGCUACCUGUUUUAAGUCAGGCCAUUGCCACGUCUUUUUCCCCACCUUGGAGACUUCAGGCCUUCAGACAACACUCCCGCACUGGGUUUAUGAGAGUAACCCCCACCUUCCCAGGAAGUUGGAAGCAUUGCCCCAGCCUUUCCAGAAGCUCUGCCUGCCGUUAGCUUGGAUCAUGAAAAUUGGCUCGGCCAGGAGAAUACAUUAUAAGGCCCCAAACCGCGCCAAAUCUUAAGCCCUCAGAGCAUAAAGAUAAACUGAUUUACAAUUAUUUUCAUUAAAAUGUCAUUUUAGGUAUAUGAAUGAACAA